This 323-nucleotide unclassified non-coding RNA is filed under the name soil metagenome. RNAcentral's name for it is "partial contains 5.8S ribosomal RNA, internal transcribed spacer 2, and large subunit ribosomal RNA". The stretch from base 1 to 120 matches the Rfam family "5.8S ribosomal RNA", at positions 35 to 154 of the family's 154-position model. The record is from RNAcentral.
GAUGAAGAACGUAGCGAAAUGCGAUAAGUAAUGCGAAUUGCAGAAUUCAGUGAGUCAUCGAAUCUUUGAACGCACAUUGCGCCCUGUGGUAUUCCGCAGGGCAUGCCUGUUCGAGCGUCAUUUCAACCCUCAAGCUCUGCUUGGUGUUGGGCCCUGCCCGCUGCGGCCGGCCCUAAAGACAGUGGCGGUGCCGCCUGACCCUGAGCGUAGUACAUCUCUCGCUCCAGUGCCCGGUGGUAGCCUGCCAGAACCCCAACUCUCGUGGUUGACCUCGGAUCAGGUAGGGAUACCCGCUGAACUUAAGCAUAUCAAUAAGCGGAGGA